UACGUAGGGUGCGAGCGUUAAUCGGAAUUACUGGGCGUAAAGCGUGCGCAGGCGGUGAUGUAAGACAGAUGUGAAAUCCCCAGGCUUAACCUGGGAACUGCGCUUGUUACUGGCAAGCUGGAGUGUGGCAGAGGGGGGUGGAAUUCCACGUGUAGCAGUGAAAUGCGUAGAGAUGUGGAGGAACACCGGUGGCGAAGGCAGCCCCCUGGGCUAACACUGACGCUCAUGCACGAAAGCGUGGGGAGCAAACAGG
RNAcentral lists this ribosomal RNA (253 nucleotides) under uncultured bacterium. RNAcentral describes it as "partial 16S ribosomal RNA". It matches the Rfam family "Bacterial small subunit ribosomal RNA", at positions 524 to 776 of the family's 1533-position model. The record is from RNAcentral.